CCUACGGGAGGCAGCAGUGGGGAAUCUUGCGCAAUGGGCGAAAGCCUGACGCAGCCAUGCCGCGUGAAUGAUGAAGGUCUUAGGAUUGUAAAAUUCUUUCAGUAGGGACGAUAAUGACGGUACCUACAGAAGAAGCCCCGGCUAACUUCGUGCCAGCAGCCGCGGUAAUACGAAGGGGGCUAGCGUUGCUCGGAAUUACUGGGCGUAAAGGGAGCGUAGGCGGACAUUUAAGUCAGGGGUGAAAUCCCAGAGCUCAACUCUGGAACUGCCUUUGAUACUGGGUGUCUUGAGUGUGAGAGAGGUAUGUGGAACUCCGAGUGUAGAGGUGAAAUUCGUAGAUAUUCGGAAGAACACCAGUGGCGAAGGCGACAUACUGGCUCAUUACUGACGCUGAGGCUCGAAAGCGUGGGGAGCAAACAGGAUUAGAUACCCUGGUAGUCCACGCCGUAAACGAUGAUUGCUAGUUGUCGGGAUGUUUACAUCUCGGUGACGCAGCUACGACAUAAGACACUCCGCCGUCGGGUAGGUACGGUCGCGAGAAGUUAAACUAACGAAAGUAAGUUAGACGGCGUGAGACGUGACCGACGGACGACGACGAGGGAGGAGG
RNAcentral lists this ribosomal RNA (607 nucleotides) under uncultured bacterium. RNAcentral's name for it is "bacterial SSU rRNA". The stretch from base 1 to 517 matches the Rfam family "Bacterial small subunit ribosomal RNA", at positions 338 to 873 of the family's 1533-position model. The record is from RNAcentral.